UGGUACAGUCCAGCAUUAUUACACAUUCAUGUUUAUUACAAUACGAGAAAUGCUACUGAAAGGUAAAUAACACUCAUAAUAUGAAAUUGAUACAUAAAAAUAUUAUUGUUUUCAUUAUCAGCUAUAAUCUAGAACGUACAUAGCUAUUACUUCAGAUUUUUGAGUGAGGAUUGCUACCUGGAAUUUCAGCAAAAAAAGAAGAACCUAUGAGUAUGCUUAAACGAGGAGCAAGCAAGCAAAGCAACCAAAUAACCAGUAAAACCCAGAAACUCAGGAAAUUUUGAGAAGCAACUAAUGAAAAUAGAUCUCUAUAGCAACUCAAAAUGCAUAUUCAAUCAGUCUAUCUUCAACUUGUAUUGAUUAUUAAAGAAAGUUUAAUCAGAAGAAACAACUUGAAAAAGAAUUUUCUGAAAAAUGUAUGAAAGCGUCAUGUUUAUCUAUAUCUAAAAGUUGUAUUCAAAAUCUCGAAAAGCGUCCAGAAGAUCCCUAAUCUUCUCAAAAAUAUGCUCGAAAAAAAUCUCCUGUUUAAAAUGAUCAAAUGUUUCUUUUACAAUUGAAGCCUUAGGAAACAUGAAUCUUUUUAUUUUUCUUUUAGCCCCUUAUCCAUUUUUCAGUUUUGCCUAAAUAGUCCUUGAUUUUCUAACUUGUGCCUCAAGUUUUGAGGCAGAAUUUGCACUUUGGACCUUCGUUAGAAGGUUCCAGAAGUUUGUUGCAAGAUUCCCUAUGUUCAAAUGUCUUUAAUACCCCGGUCCCCUUUUCCUAGUUACUGGCAUAAGUGUUUUAAAACCCUGGUUCUUAUUUAUUUGGUCAGAAAUUGACCCUAGUUAGUUACUUCAGGUUAUAGACCAAGAUCAAAUUCUUAAUUGCAAAUUAAAUUAUGCAGAAACAAACAACCCAGGGCUAGAAUUUAAUCUAUGCAACUAAUGGAUUCAAGCAAAUAUCUCAAUGUGGACUUUACAUUACUCAGCAACAAAUAUGAAACCAAUUAUCACAACCUUCAGAAUCACAUGGAUAUCAAUAGAUUUUGGGACCAGGAAAAUGAAAAAUCAGAGCAUGAUUAUUCAGGGGCACUCAUGAAUUUAGAAUUAAGCAAACUAUUUAGAAGUAGGUCAUUCAAUCUUAAACCCAAGACAUAUGGUGGAAAAGACAUCACUAACUAGAAAAACCCAAUAGAUGAGUAAAAGGGCAUGCAUGACAAAAUCAAUGAGACUUAGAAGCAAAUGGGAAAAAGAAACAAAACGAUUAGAGGAGGACCUAAAGCAACUAUAUAUGGAUCAUAAGGAUGAACAAAUUAAAACACUCAGCAUAAAACUAAAAGCAAUUGUAAGGAAGAAUACAUGAUUUAAAGUAAUUAAAAAAUGAAUAACAGAAAUUAAACACUCAAAAUAAGGAGACUUAGCAUAUUUAACAAAUGUAAAUAAAGAAAAUCAAGAGUAUUGAGAAAAGAGAACCAGGACAAGUAUAUGAUUCUAGAUGGAGAUGCCUACACAGAAUUUCAACUAUAAUAUACUUAAACAAAAAUAAGAAUAGAAGAUCAACAGAAGAGAACAAGGAUGAGCAUAUAGUAACUAUUCAUAAUUUUCCAAAUAUGAACAAAUGAAAACUCAGGAACAUGUAACUCUAUAUGGAAAUAACUAUCCAGAAUAUCUUGAAGAUGAACAGAUAGAGAACAAGUAACAAGAAAGAAAAUCAAAAGGCAAGAGAAGGCAUAUGAUUCCAGGAUGAACAGAUGAACUCAAACAAAUGAAAAUCAAAGAAAAUAAAAUCUAUCAGAACAUGGAAGCACACACAUAACAAUCAAGCACACGGGAACUUAACUUUUUUUUUUUUAGCAUUGCAACCCUAAAAAUAGGGUUUUCAAAUCUCCAGAUCUUUGACAUCUUCUGACAGGUCCUUUGGCCUUCUAAGGUCUUUGCCUUUCAUAUUGGAGAGGGGGAAAAGGGUUUCAGGGGAGGGUCAACUGGUUCUGAGACAUGGUGGGAUUUUAGAUUGGAUUUUCAGUCGUGUCUAGUGGUAUUCGAGGGUCGUGGGUGGCAUGGUUGUGGAUGGGGAUAUGAGACGGUCACCAUGGACCAAUUUCAGGGAAUUUAGCUGAGUUUAGGGCUUGGGUUAAGUUUCAAUUUGAUAUUGGAAACAAUAUGUUAUAAUUCGAAGGAUGAGGUUUAGAUGGUUGGGAAGAGGAGGAAGAGGUGGUUCAGGGGUGUUAUUUUGGGUUGAUUUAGGGUUGGUGUCGCCGGAGACGGCAGAACUAGUGACUCUUCUAUCUAAUAUUCGAUGAGUUGGGGAGGUGUUUGAAGGAAACUAAUGGUGGGAGGGGAAAGGGGAGGUUGAGAAGGUCUAGUGGUGUAAAUUUGGGGCUAUUGGGUGGCCGGCCGCCGCCGUGAGGUGAUUUCUGGCGGCGGUGUUAGGGUGGUUGAGGGGUGGUAGAUGGCGGUGGAAAGGUGGCAAAAGUGUGGGUGAUACACCGGCAUUAUAGAUACGAGGAAGGAGGUCGUU
RNAcentral lists this long non-coding RNA (2496 nucleotides) under Nicotiana benthamiana. Its description in RNAcentral is "long non-coding RNA (NBEN_LNC015372)". Lineage: Eukaryota; Viridiplantae; Streptophyta; Magnoliopsida; Solanales; Solanaceae. The record is from RNAcentral.